RNAcentral lists this small RNA (147 nucleotides) under Pongo abelii (Sumatran orangutan). Its description in RNAcentral is "Metazoan signal recognition particle RNA (ENSPPYG00000037041.1)". The record is from Rfam by way of RNAcentral. Lineage: Eukaryota; Metazoa; Chordata; Mammalia; Primates; Hominidae.
GCCGGGCAUGGUGGUGCUUGCCUGUAAUCCCAGCUACUCGGAGGCUGAGGCAGGAGAAUUGCUUGAACCCAGGAGGCGGAGGUUACAGUGAGCUGAGAUCACGCCACUGCACUCCAGCCUGGGCAACAGAGCGAGACUCUGUCUAAC